Hipposideros armiger (great roundleaf bat) is the source of this 1855-nucleotide long non-coding RNA. RefSeq lists it as uncharacterized. The transcript has 2 exons. Lineage: Eukaryota; Metazoa; Chordata; Mammalia; Chiroptera; Hipposideridae. The record is from RefSeq and is a predicted model, not a curated record.
UCUCCUCCACCGGUUCCUUUGCAACUGGGAGCCAAUGGGAUAAGAAAAAGAACAUGGUGGAUUGUGAGAGUGAUCAAAGAGACUAGGUCUGAGAGUGAUAUGCAUCUGUUUUGAUCACAGUCCACUUGCAAUAACUCCAUUUGCUUCACCUAAAGAGGCUGAGAAAUUUCUAAUGUGUUUCUCUUCUAAAAGAAGAGAAGAAACAUGCAUACAGAGGGAAGACUUUUAGAAGAAGAUGACACGUAUGUGAAGAGUGUGGUUUCUUGAAAUAUUUUCUUAAGGAAAAAAGUAGAAGAUAAGUAUCCUACCUUGAAUUUUCCUUGAGUUGAGAUCAUUGAACAAGUGGUAUAUUAAAUGGAGUAGAAUUUUCUUAAUGAAGAUUUUAAAUAUUUUCACAUCUUAUUGAUGCAUUCUUGAUAUGUACAUCCUAAGUAUGGCACUGAUUAAUUAUCAGUGUAGAUUAUUUUAUUGGCCUCUGGAUCUUUGUCUUGGAUGUCAAAAGAACCUCUUCUAAAAUGUGUGCAAAGGAUACAGUUUGGAGAUAAUGAGGGUUUUUUUGGGGGGGGUGUUUGUUUUCAUUUUUAUAGUUUCCUUACUUCUUUGCUGCCCUCCACCCAUUGUAUCAAUGGAACGUAUUACUUUAGGGGGAAGGCUAAAAUAGCUGAUUCUGAGGAGUCAGUUGAGUUUCUGAAUUUAUUUUUUAAAGUCCCCAGAGAGACAAUACUCUUGAAAGUUGAGAAUUUUUUACUACAAGAGCCUGAGCUCCAAAAGCUUAAGAGCCUGGCAGUUCCACUGCAUAGAGUUUACGCCAAACCACAGAGUAGGAAGGAAUGGCUUUUCUCGCAAAUGUUUUCCUGCAUAAGGGAGAUCAGGUUUGAGCAUCAGGCACCCAGGAGGAGAAAUAGAGGUUAGAGGAUGGUGAGGAGCAGGAACAAGCAUUUAGUGCCCGGUUCCCCUUCUAUCAAGCUUUUGGGGAACGUACGGAUAGGAUAGGAUGGAUUUGGGGCCUCGUACCAUGCUGCCUGAUGAAGCUCAAGGGAAGGAAAGCAAUUCCUGUAGGUAAGUGCCGUUCCAGCAUGGCUCUGCAAAGUAUAAAAGGCAACAGGAAGGUCUGGGCAGAGAAAGUCUAAAGCAGCACCCCUGCUGCCUGCUGCCCCAGGAGACAGCAGAGAAUCAAAAAUUCCCAUCGCCCUGAGAUGAGUGUGUAAAAGGAGCAUCUUGCGUUUGCCAUUUUCAACAUGUAAAAUCCAUCACUGCUACACGGAUGAAUCAUUGCAGUCUAAUUUUCCUCUCUCAUGUCUAGAUGUCAAACUAUUCAAUAGUGUCUGGAGUUAUCUGCGUGACCUUCGAGGACCCAUCAACCCGAGAACAGAACGGGAUGCAGGCGUUUCAACCAUGGAUGCCAUAAUGGUAGAUCCCAGGAUAAAGAACAAACUCCAUUGGAAGUCAGUGGAUGGCUGCGAUGGACUGGGUUCACAUCACCUGGCAACCACCAGCAAGGCCUUACCAGUUGUGUGUGUUGGUGUUUGUUCUGAUUGUUUGGUGCCUAUACCCUACUGCUUGUUAAAUAGUUUGAGCAUCACGCUUACUGAUGACUGCAGCCUGGUGCCAGGAAGUUUCAGCGCGCCCCCCCCCCCGACCCCCAACUUGGAUCACCCCAUGGAGAUAAGGAAAAAAGAAAUGGAAGGGGGCAUCCUGAAAUGACUGACGAUACCCUCCCAAGGAGACUGGAGUAAACCAGUGACUAAGAUUACUUUGACUUAAGCUUAAGUUUCCCACCAUCAGUUUGUGAACUAAUUUAAGGUCAUUUGCAGUGAAUAAAAGAGAGCUCCAGUUUUUUAACAUAUGAAAUUCA